RNAcentral lists this transfer RNA (75 nucleotides) under Vibrio cholerae. RNAcentral's name for it is "tRNA-Val". It matches the Rfam family "tRNA". Rfam says of the family: Transfer RNA (tRNA) molecules are approximately 80 nucleotides in length. Lineage: Bacteria; Pseudomonadati; Pseudomonadota; Gammaproteobacteria; Vibrionales; Vibrionaceae. RNAcentral also lists the same sequence under 1 other name. The record is from RNAcentral.
GGGUUAUAGCUCAGCUGGGAGAGCGCCUGCCUUACAAGCAGGGGGUCACUGGUUCGAACCCGGUAUCGCCCACCA